Salvia splendens (bonfire salvia) is the source of this 1067-nucleotide long non-coding RNA. RefSeq lists it as uncharacterized. The transcript has 3 exons. The record is from RefSeq and is a predicted model, not a curated record. Lineage: Eukaryota; Viridiplantae; Streptophyta; Magnoliopsida; Lamiales; Lamiaceae.
GUCAAGAGCGGUGACUCAACUCGGAAGAAAGAAAGAAAUGUGUAGAAGAGAAAGACAAGCACGUAUUUUGCUCGUUAAUGCGUCUAUAACAUCGAGGAUCAAUAGCGUUCGGCGGCGGAUGGCGGGAACGUUUUUGUACUUGAUACUCUGCGGUGGAGUGUCAGCGUCGGUUAUUUUGUGAGAAAAGGCGUUCUUCUCUGAAGAAACAUGUUGCACCCUAUGAAAGGCCUGCAUUAAGCAAAGGAUUUUUACUUCCUGAAGGUAUUGCUUCCGAAGGAUUUCCUUGUCAACCAUUUCUUGCAUGACUUUCUGUGCAACGUGCAUGCACUGCCAGCACAGGGAAGCCUUCUAAGCAGAAGGCGUGAAUUAGUAAAGUUAAGUAUGAUUACACAAACUGCCUUUGCUGUGUAGUUGGGAUUUUGUUUCAUCUCCAUAAUGUCCAACAUGAUUAGUUUUAUUUGAUUUAAAGUAUGCCAUUUACGGUUUCAAGUAUGUCGUUGAUAGUUGAUUAAAAUAUGCCCUUUACAGUUUCAAGUUUAUAGUUGAUAGUUUAUUGUUACACGUACCUUGUGAAAAACCAAUAUAUUCCCACCAGCAGAGUUUCUCUACGGAAUAAAAAGUUCCAGUUGUAGAAAGGAUGUGUAAUGUAUUGACCCCUUUUUGCAGUAUAUGUGUGUUCCAUUGUCAUUCUAUAUCUGUAUGACUUUUAUGUACUGAUGAUGUUCUCAAUUCUUAUUAUUCUAUACAACUGAAAUUUUGACUUUUUGUUUUGACUGGUUUUCUCUGUGCUCUGUUUGUUAUAUUCAGCUCAAGCACGCGUACCUUCAUUUCACUGUUGUGUGGGUACCAAACUACCAAUGGCACAAGGAACACGGUAUUGAGUUGAUUCUUGGAACUAGACUUGUUGAUGUGAAGUAGAAGAUAUCGCUAACUGCAAAAAGGAGAAACAAUAAGAUACAAAUACUCCAUAUCAUAGUUCAUUGUUCUUUCUUCCAUUUAAGUUGCAUCUGGUUGUUCAAGAAUUUGCGAGAAUGUAUCGUUGAAAAAUUGGACCUCAGUUACUCUUA